RNAcentral lists this ribosomal RNA (429 nucleotides) under uncultured bacterium. RNAcentral's name for it is "bacterial SSU rRNA". It matches the Rfam family "Bacterial small subunit ribosomal RNA", at positions 355 to 775 of the family's 1533-position model. The record is from RNAcentral.
UGGGGAAUUGUUCGCAAUGGGCGAAAGCCUGACGACGCAACGCCGCGUGGAGGACGAAGAUCUUCGGGUCGUAAACUCCUGUCGAGCGGGAAGAACGCUCCCCGGGUAAAUAUCCUGGGGAAAUGACGGUACCGCUAAAGGAAGCCCCGGCUAACUCCGUGCCAGCAGCCGCGGUAAUACGGGGGGGGCAAGCGUUGUUCGGAAUUACUGGGCGUAAAGGGCUCGUAGGCGGCCAACUAAGUCGGAUGUGAAAUCCCCAGGCUCAACUUGGGAACUGCAUCCGAUACUGGAUGGCUUGAAUUCGGGAGAGGGAUGCAGAAUUCCAGGUGUAGCGGUGAAAUGCGUAGAUAUCUGGAGGAAUACCGGUGGCGAAGGCGGCAUCCUGGACCGACAUUGACGCUGAGGAGCGAAAGCUAGGGGAGCAAACGG